RNAcentral lists this long non-coding RNA (706 nucleotides) under Ananas comosus (pineapple). RNAcentral's name for it is "long non-coding RNA (ACOM_LNC025466)". Lineage: Eukaryota; Viridiplantae; Streptophyta; Magnoliopsida; Poales; Bromeliaceae. The record is from RNAcentral.
UUAAAAUCUCAAAUUUAUAUUUUUAAAAAUUUUAAAUUUAAAAGUUUAAACUUUAAAUUUAAGAUGAAAUUUAUUAUUAAUAAAUUUAUAAUUUUUAAAAAAUUCUACUUAUACUUAAAUUUAAUAAAAAUAAUUUAUUAUAAUAUUUAAAUAUAAUUUACUACAAAAUUUAUUAUAAUAUUUAAAUAUAAAUAAAACGUAUUAAUAUAGUACAAUUAAUAAUUUUAUAAUAAAAAUAAUGUAUUAUAAUAUAUAACAUAUUAUAUUUAUAUAAUUUAGUUUUAAUUCAAUUUAUAAUUUUAAUUAAAUUUAAAAUUAAGCAUUGGAAUGACACUAUUCCACCAAAAUGGUGGAGUAGUAAAUCCCAAGCUAUUCCGGAAUAACUGGGAAUAGUAAAAUUUGACCGGAAUAAAAUAUCUCGGCAAAAAAUCAUCUCAUUUGGCGGAAUAGCGGGGAUAAUUUCCGUUAUCCCCGUUUUAUCUCCCGAACCAAACGGGGCCUAAGGAUAUAUUUUUAGGACACUUUUAUAUUAGUGUCCCAUUUGCUAAAUAUUUUUUAAAAAAUAUAUUAAGGCCUAAAUAUAAAACCCAUCUAAUAAAAAACAAAAUGUUUCUCUAUUCAACCAACCUCAUCCAGCUCAUUCGGUGCGAUUACAAAUAGAAAAAAAAAAAAAAGGAAAAUUGAUCACUAUUUUUCUUUCUCCUCC